RNAcentral lists this transfer RNA (86 nucleotides) under Candidatus Woesebacteria bacterium. Its description in RNAcentral is "tRNA-Ser". It matches the Rfam family "tRNA". From Rfam's summary of the family: Transfer RNA (tRNA) molecules are approximately 80 nucleotides in length. Their secondary structure includes four short double-helical elements and three loops (D, anti-codon, and T loops). The record is from RNAcentral. RNAcentral also lists the same sequence under 1 other name. Lineage: Bacteria; Candidatus Woeseibacteriota.
GGAAGGGUCGCAUAGUGGCUAUUGCAUCAGCCUCGAAAACUGACGCCCUUUGGGCAUCGCGGGUUCGAGUCCCGCCCCUUCCGCCA